RNAcentral lists this ribosomal RNA (374 nucleotides) under uncultured bacterium. Its description in RNAcentral is "bacterial SSU rRNA". It matches the Rfam family "Bacterial small subunit ribosomal RNA", at positions 525 to 896 of the family's 1533-position model. The record is from RNAcentral.
ACGUAGGGCGCAAGCGUUGUCCGGAAUUAUUGGGCGUAAAGAGCUCGUAGGCGGUUUGUCGCGUCUGCUGUGAAAACUCGAGGCUCAACCUCGGGCUUGCAGUGGGUACGGGCAGACUAGAGUGCGGUAGGGGAGACUGGAAUUCCUGGUGUAGCGGUGGAAUGCGCAGAUAUCAGGAGGAACACCGAUGGCGAAGGCAGGUCUCUGGGCCGCAACUGACGCUGAGGAGCGAAAGCAUGGGGAGCGAACAGGAUUAGAUACCCUGGUAGUCCAUGCCGUAAACGUUGGGCACUAGGUGUGGGGCUCAUUCCACGAGUUCCGUGCCGCAGCUAACGCAUUAAGUGCCCCGCCUGGGGAGUACGGCCGCAAGGCUA